Long non-coding RNA from Carassius carassius (crucian carp), 470 nucleotides. RefSeq lists it as uncharacterized. The record is from RefSeq and is a predicted model, not a curated record. The transcript is spliced from 3 exons. NCBI's taxonomy places the organism in Eukaryota, Metazoa, Chordata, Actinopteri, Cypriniformes, Cyprinidae.
GGCGUUCUCUCAGUCCACUGAGUGGCCUAGUCUUGUGUAGUCGACUGUGUGAGAUCAGGGCAAGACUCCUCACUGGUGCAUAUAUGCCUGCGUUUAAUGCUCCAACCUGCUUCCACAUGGCUGGUUCUGUGGAUAUAUUUGCUGAUGUUUGGGAAGAUUGUGAUUUAAAGCGUGCAACGAUGGUCUUGAUUACAUCAGGCUUUUAUGGAUGCCUGUCAUGCACCCUGUUUGAGCUUAAAUGUUCCCCCUUCAUUUACUCAUCCUCAUGUAAUUUCAAACCUGUAUGACCACCUUUCUCCUGUUGAAAUAAAACUACACUAAAUGGGGUUCAAUCACUGACUUGCAUUGCAUGGAAUUUUUUUUUUUUUUUUUUAAGUAUCUUCUUUGGAUGUCCACAGAAUGUCAGUCGUUGGUUUGGAACAACGUGGAGUUGACUAAAUGAUGACAGAAUUUAAGUUUUUGGAUGAACU